ACGGGUGAGUAACACGUGAGUAAUCUGCCCCUGGCUUUGGGAUAGCCACCGGAAACGGUGAUUAAUACCGGAUACGACCACUUCUCGCAUGGGAUGGUGGUGGAAAGUUUUUCGGCCAGGGAUGUGCUCGCGGCCUAUCAGCUUGAUGGUGAGGUAAUGGCUCACCAUGGCUUCGACGGGUAGCCGGCCUGAGAGGGUGACCGGUCACACUGGGACUGAGACACGGCCCAGACUCCUACGGGAGGCAGCAGUGGGGAAUAUUGGACAAUGGGCGGAAGCCUGAUCCAGCAACGCCGCGUGAGGGAUGACGGCCUUCGGGUUGUAAACCUCUUUCAGCAGGGACGAAGCGCAAGUGACGGUACCUGCAGAAGAAGCACCGGCCAACUACGUGCCAGCAGCCGCGGUAAUACGUAGGGUGCGAGCGUUGUCCGGAAUUAUUGGGCGUAAAGGGCUCGUAGGCGGUUUGUCGCGUCGGGAGUGAAAACCAGGUGCUUAACACCUGGCUUGCUUUCGAUACGGGCAGACUAGAGGUAUUCAGGGGAGAACGGAAUUCCUGGUGUAGCGGUGAAAUGCGCAGA
Molecule: ribosomal RNA, 578 nt
Filed under: Nocardioides sp. HRRP050
Lineage: Bacteria; Bacillati; Actinomycetota; Actinomycetes; Propionibacteriales; Nocardioidaceae
Description: bacterial SSU rRNA
Rfam family: Bacterial small subunit ribosomal RNA
Source: RNAcentral